RNAcentral lists this ribosomal RNA (265 nucleotides) under Graphis pulverulenta. Its description in RNAcentral is "partial 28S large subunit ribosomal RNA". It matches the Rfam family "Eukaryotic large subunit ribosomal RNA", at positions 341 to 612 of the family's 3401-position model. The record is from RNAcentral. Lineage: Eukaryota; Fungi; Ascomycota; Lecanoromycetes; Ostropales; Graphidaceae.
CGCACAAAUAGAGUGAUGGAAAGAUGAAAAGCACUAUGAAAAGAGAGUCAAACAGUACGUGAAAUUGUUGANNNNNAAGCGCUUGCAAUCAGACUCGUUUGUAGAAGUUCAGCCUUCUUUCGAGAUGGUGUAUUCUUCUGUCAACGGCCCAGCUUCNGUUUCGGCGGUUGGAUAAAGAUUUUGAGAACGUACCGCUCCGCNNGAAGAGUUAUAGCUCGGAGUGUAAUGCAGCAGCAGAGGCUGAGGUCCGCGCUUUUGCUAGGAU